Molecule: ribosomal RNA, 314 nt
Filed under: Carabus morbillosus alternans
Lineage: Eukaryota; Metazoa; Arthropoda; Insecta; Coleoptera; Carabidae
Description: partial 12S ribosomal RNA
Source: RNAcentral
UUCUUGAAAUUUAAAGAUUUUGGCGGUAUUUUAGUCUAUUUAGAGGAGCCUGUUCUAUAAUUGAUAAUCCACGAUUAAUUUUACUUAAUUUAUAUAAGUUUGUAUACCGUCGUUAUAAGAAGAUUUUAAAAGAAUAUAAAUUUUUAAUAUUUUAUAUAAAAAAAUAUAUCAGAUCAAGGUGCAGUUUAUAAUUAAGAAGAAAUGGGCUACAAUAAAAAUAUUUAUAUGGAUUAAAGUAAGAAUUUGACUUUAUAAAGGUGGAUUUAAUAGUAAUAAAAUUAAUUUAAAUUUUAUGAUUUUAGCUCUAAAAUAUG